AGAGUUUGAUUAUGGCUCAGGAUGAACGCUAGCUACAGGCUUAACACAUGCAAGUCGAGGGGAAACGAUAUUGGAAGCUUGCUUCCGAUAGGCGUCGACCGGCGCACGGGUGAGUAACGCGUAUCCAACCUGCCCACCACUUGGGGAUAACCUUGCGAAAGUAAGACUAAUACCCAAUGAUAUCUCUAGAAGACAUCUGAAAGAGAUUAAAGAUUUAUCGGUGAUGGAUGGGGAUGCGUCUGAUUAGCUUGUUGGCGGGGUAACGGCCCACCAAGGCAACGAUCAGUAGGGGUUCUGAGAGGAAGGUCCCCCACAUUGGAACUGAGACACGGUCCAA
RNAcentral lists this ribosomal RNA (337 nucleotides) under uncultured bacterium. RNAcentral describes it as "bacterial SSU rRNA". It matches the Rfam family "Bacterial small subunit ribosomal RNA", at positions 8 to 334 of the family's 1533-position model. The record is from RNAcentral.